AUUAGUGAAAGAGAAAAAGAAAAAUAGCCAAGUCAACCUAAAUCUAACCCAAGAGCCCAAAUUGGUCAACAAUCUCAACCUAAAGGUUGAUUCAACCAUGUAAAUGAAAUUGACAUCUUAAGGUCUGAGAAAUGAGUAGACAAUCAGGUAAGUAUAACUGAGAACCAAGAAAACCAACCGACUAAACCACAGACUGAUCAGACCAAGUCUGAUGAGCUUGAAUCAACA
Molecule: long non-coding RNA, 228 nt
Filed under: Elaeis guineensis (African oil palm)
Lineage: Eukaryota; Viridiplantae; Streptophyta; Magnoliopsida; Arecales; Arecaceae
Description: long non-coding RNA (EGUI_LNC060685)
Source: RNAcentral